Molecule: ribosomal RNA, 252 nt
Filed under: uncultured bacterium
Lineage: Bacteria
Description: partial 16S ribosomal RNA
Rfam family: Bacterial small subunit ribosomal RNA
Source: RNAcentral
UACAGAGGUCCCAAGCGUUGUUCGGAUUCAUUGGGCGUAAAGGGAGCGUAGGUGGUCGGGUAAGUCAGAUGUCAAAUUUCGGUGCUCAACACCGAAUCGCAUUUGAUACUGCCUGGCUAGAGGAAUUGAGAGGAGGCCGGAAUUCACGGUGUAGCAGUGAAAUGCGUAGAUAUCGUGAGGAAGACCAACGGCGAAAGCAGGCCUCUGGAAAUUUCCUGACACUGAGGCUCGAAGGCCAGGGGAGCAAACGGG